ACCAGACUCCUACGGGAGGCAGCAGUGGGGGAUAUUGCACAAUGGGGGGAACCCUGAUGCAGCGACGCCGCGUGGGUGAAGAAGCGCCUCGGCGCGUAAAGCCCUGUCAGCAGGGAAGAAAAUGACGGUACCUGAAGAAGAAGCCCCGGCUAACUACGUGCCAGCAGCCGCGGUAAUACGUAGGGGGCAAGCGUUAUCCGGAUUUACUGGGUGUAAAGGGGGCGCAGACAGCGAUGCAAGCCAGGAGUGAAAGCCCGGGGCCCAACCCCGGGACUGCUCUUGGAACUGCGUGGCUGGAGUGCAGGAGGGGCAGGCGGAAUUCCUGGUGUAGCGGUGAAAUGCGUAGAUAUCAGGAGGAACACCGGUGGCGAAGGCGGCCUGCUGGACUGCAACUGACGUUGAGGCCCGAAAGCGUGGGGAGCAAACAGGAUUAGAUACCCGCGUAU
RNAcentral lists this ribosomal RNA (446 nucleotides) under uncultured bacterium. RNAcentral describes it as "partial 16S ribosomal RNA". It matches the Rfam family "Bacterial small subunit ribosomal RNA", at positions 330 to 793 of the family's 1533-position model. The record is from RNAcentral.